This 469-nucleotide ribosomal RNA is filed under the name uncultured bacterium. Its description in RNAcentral is "partial 16S ribosomal RNA". It matches the Rfam family "Bacterial small subunit ribosomal RNA", at positions 28 to 507 of the family's 1533-position model. The record is from RNAcentral.
GACGAACGCUGGCGGCGUGCUUAACACAUGCAAGUCGAACGGUGAAGCGAGUGCUUGCACUCGUGGAUCAGUGGCGAACGGGUGAGUAACACGUGAGUAACCUGCCCAUCACUCUGGGAUAAGCACUGGAAACGGUGUCUAAUACUGGAUACGACCAACCCUUGCAUGGGGUGUUGGUGGAAAGAUUUAUCGGUGAUGGAUGGACUCGCGGCCUAUCAGCUUGUUGGCGGGGUAAUGGCCCACCAAGGCGACGACGGGUAGCCGGCCUGAGAGGGUGACCGGCCACACUGGGACUGAGACACGGCCCAGACUCCUACGGGAGGCAGCAGUGGGGAAUAUUGCACAAUGGGCGAAAGCCCGAUGCAGCGACGCCGCGUGAGGGAUGACGGCCUUCGGGUUGUAAACCUCUUUCAGCAGGGAAGAAGCGAAAGUGACGGUACCUGCAGAAGAAGCACCGGCUAACUACGUG